RNAcentral lists this ribosomal RNA (488 nucleotides) under uncultured bacterium. RNAcentral's name for it is "bacterial SSU rRNA". It matches the Rfam family "Bacterial small subunit ribosomal RNA", at positions 29 to 507 of the family's 1533-position model. The record is from RNAcentral.
AUGAACGCUAGCUACAGGCUUAACACAUGCAAGUCGAGGGGCAGCAUGGUCUUAGCUUGCUAAGGCCGAUGGCGACGGCGCACGGGUGAGUAACACGUAUCCAACCUGCCGUCUACUCUUGGACAGCCUUCUGAAAGGAAGAUUAAUACAAGAUGGCAUCAUGAGUCCGCAUGUUCACAUGAUUAAAGGUAUUCCGGUAGACGAUGGGGAUGCGUUCCAUUAGAUAGUAGGCGGGGUAACGGCCCACCUAGUCUUCGAUGGAUAGGGGUUCUGAGAGGAAGGUCCCCCACAUUGGAACUGAGACACGGACCAGACUCCUACGGGAGGCAGCAGUGAGGAAUAUUGGUCAAUGGGCGAGAGCCUGAACCAGCCAAGUCGCGUGGAGGAAGACUGCCCUACGGGUUGUAAACUCCUUUUACCUGGGAAUAACGGGCGCUACGCGUAGCGCUGUGCAUGUACCGGGAGAAUAAGCAUCGGCUAAUUCCGUG